AUGCUGACAAGUGAUACUACUGUUGCCGAGGCAAUCAGAAGAGUGGGGUAUGAUUUGCACUCGUGGAGCAAGGAGAUAUUGGGGGAUCUGAAAAAUAGGAUUAAAAGAGCAAAAAAGGACCUGAACCGGUGUAGGAAGGGGGCGAUCUCCAAACAGCAGGUGGCUCAGGAGCAGCUGUUACGUUAUAAGUUGGAAAGGCUUCAGGACCAGAAGAAUAUUUACUGGAAGCAAAGGGCGCAUGCUCAUUGGCUGAAAGAUGGGGACCGAAACACGAGCUUCUUUCAUGCUUGUGCGUCGGAUAGGAGAAGGGUGAACCAAAUUACAAAGCUGCAUACUGAUGAGGGAGGCGUGGUGGAGGGCGAGGGGGAGUUGCGGGAGCUCAUUGCUAGCUAUUAUAAGUCUCUUUUCUCUUCUGUGGCAGGGACAAGGGAGGCUGAACUCCUAUGUAAAGUGUCUCCUGUGGUCACUAUAAAGAUGAACGUGUAUCUUUCAAAGCCUUUCACCAUUGAAGAAAUUAGGGAGGCUCUGAAUUCUAUGGGGGACUUGAAAGCACCAGGGCCGGAUGGUAUGCCAGCAAUCUUCUACAAAAGGUUUUGGGACCUGGUGGGGCCAAAGGUUCAGGAGGCGGUCCUUGGUGUCCUGAACGGGGGUCCUGUGCCCGUCGGCUGGAAUGAGACCAUUGUUGUUCUGAUUCCAAAGGUCCUUAAUCCAUCGCGAAUGAAGGACCUUAGGCCUAUCAGCCUGUGCAAUGUGGUUUUCAAGAUCAUAACAAAGGUGAUUGCCCGUCGCUUGAAGGAGGUGCUGCCAGCGAUUAUAUCCCCAAGUCAAAGUGCCUUCGUGCCGGGAAGAUUGAUAACGGACAACAUGUUGAUCGCUUACGAGACCACUCACUUCAUGCAUCAGCGUAAGGGGGGAAGAGACAGGCUGGCGGCUGUCAAACUGGAUAUGAGCAAGGCGUAUGACCGCGUUGAGUGGUCUUUUUUGGAAAAUAUGAUGCUAAAGAUGGGGUUUUCCCGGGACUGGGUGCACCUAAUUAUGGGAUGUGUCACUACUGUGACUUAUAGGAUUAAGGUCAACAAUGAUCUGACGGAGGUCAUUGUGCCUGAGAGAGGCUUAAGGCAGGGAUGCCCCCUAUCACCCUAUCUUUUCAUUCUCUGUGCGGAGGGCCUUUCUACUCUGUUCCAAGAUGCCGAGAGAGAGGGUAGCCUUCAGGGGGUGCAGGUUUGUACGGGAGCCCCAAGGAUAAACCAUAUGUUCUUUGCGGACGAUUCUCUCAUCUUCAUGAAGGCAAACGAGGCUAGUGCAGGAAAGUUGAUGAGCAUUUUGGCCUUGUAUGAGGAUGCCUCGGGGCAGGUGAUUAAUAAAGACAAAUCGGCUGUCAUGUUCAGCAAGGGGACUUCUCAGGCGGCGAAGAGGAAGUUCAAGAAUCUCCUCCAAAUUAGUAACGAGGCCUUCAAUGAAAGGUAUCUUGGUUUGCCUAUUUACCUGGGCAAGUCCAAGAGCAAAGCAUUUGGCUAUUUGUUGGAGAAGGUGUGGAAGAAGAUCCAGGGAUGGAAGGAAAAGUUUCUUUCUAGGGCGGGAAAGGAAAUAUUGGUUAAGGCGGUGGCGCAGGCAAUCCCUAUUUUUGCCAUGUCCUGUUUUGAUCUCACUAAAACUCUCUGCGACGAUAUCAGCUCGAUGGUGUGCCGCUAUUGGUGGAACAAUCAGGAGGAGGAUCGACACCACUGGCUGGGUUAG
RNAcentral lists this ribosomal RNA (1737 nucleotides) under Triticum aestivum (bread wheat). Its description in RNAcentral is "partial small subunit ribosomal RNA". Lineage: Eukaryota; Viridiplantae; Streptophyta; Magnoliopsida; Poales; Poaceae. The record is from RNAcentral.